GAUGACGUCACAAAAGACGUGUCAGUGGAAGGAGUAGACAGGGAUUGUAGAGGAGCAUGUUGAAAAAUGUCCGAUUACUUUAAUUUAUCGUACAGCGUGAAUAGUGGUAAACAGAGGGGUUCGUGGUGUCGCGUGUGUGUACGUUAGACCGGUGUCGUUACAUGAUUAUCUUUGAGCCUCGAGGUAUCACGUGGACUAAAACGAAGUCAGUUUCGAACUAGUCAGACACGCCGUCGACCCGAAAUAUCAUCGAAAAAUAAAACUGGUGUGGACGGUGCGGUUUUGUUCUCAUGGGACUUCCUCGGAUGCUGGCUUUUGCGAUACGGAUAAUCGUGUAAAUUAUUGGAAGGCUGAAGAUAGAUCGAGGAAUAUUUACAUAUCAGAGGCCCCGGAGGACCUGGGCAACGAUGGAAGCUGCCAGACAGGAAUGAUAGAAUGCAAGAGGGUAGCACCGCCGUGGCGCUAGCGAUGGUGACUCCUGGCUACGAUCAGGACCCUGCAAGUGGGGUUGCCGAUUACACGACUCAUCAAGAUCAGGCUCAGUUCGAGGCAGACAAGAGGGCAGUCUAUAAACAUCCCCUCUUUCCAUUACUCGCGUUACUUUUCGAAAGAUGCGAACAAGCUACACAGAGUUCGGACAACUCGACGUCCGAAAGCUUCAACAUGGACAUACAGGCCUUCGUCCAACACCAAGAAAGAGACCGAAAGCCUUUCCUAAUCAAUGACCCCGAAAUUGACGGUUUGAUGAUCAAAGCGAUACAGGUGCUGCGGAUUCACCUACUCGAGCUGGAAAAAGUGCAGGAGUUGUGCAAAGACUUUUGCAACAGGUACAUCACGUGCCUGAAGGGCAAGAUGCAGAGCGAGAAUCUGCUACGCAGCGAUUACAGUCACCAUGGACACGAUAUGGGUCCAUCGAGUGGCAGCAACGGAAGCAGUCCUUUGCAGGUGCUGUCUUCUACAGGCAAUGAUGUUGAGUCGGGAGCUAACGGAUUCAGAGUGAGCAGAGGCGACACCCUGUCGGAGAACGGUGGUGCGAGUCAGUUGGCUGCGCAAGAGGAAACCGGUAACGACAGGCCGCCGUCGGUGCGAUCAUCUUCCACUGCUCAGCGCUCGAUCAGAUCCUCCAGCCAGGACCAUGACGAUCCACUGUCACCUUCCACGGUACACGGGAGCACACCACUCUCGCAAAUUGGGGCUCAUUCCUGUGCACCAGUCAACGAUAUUUAUCUUGGUCAAGAUGAUAUGGACUAUGUGAAUAUUGGCGACAGAAUAUAUUUAGAAGAGGUUGGUUAUUGGGGCCUCCUUGCCUUGCAAGAGCGUGAAAAUGAAUACGUCGAUGUCGGGGAUGCGAAUGACGAAAAGUAUUUUGAUAUUACUGUGGCUGGUUCUCCUUCACCUGCACCAAGUGAGGAUGAAGACGAAGGAUGUGGCACUGGUACUGCUACUUCCAACCACAGUAGUAGUGGUCAUGGAGGUAAUCACAGCAGCGUUAAGAAAGGAAGACAAAAGCGGGGCGUCUUACCUAAACAAGCUACAAGCAUUAUGCGAACUUGGCUCUUUGAACAUUUAGUUCAUCCAUACCCCACGGAGGAUGAGAAGCGACAAAUAGCGGGUCAAACGAACUUAACGUUGCUACAAGUCAAUAAUUGGUUCAUCAAUGCUCGUCGACGAAUCCUUCAGCCAAUGCUCGACGGUGCCGGAGCGGAUUCGAUACAGCGAGCCGGGAAACGUCACAAGGUAUCGAAACACGUGGUGCAACACCAACAGGUGCAGCAGCAACAAGGCGGUGGCUGGCAAUCUGAAGAUUCUGGGAGUGAUUCCGGCUCCAGCGACGGUGAGGGAGGUGCCGAUAGAUCGAAAGAUGGUAACGAUAGCGACGAAGAUGAUCUUCACUGACCUCUGUCGAUCAUUAAAACAUCAACCUCUUUACGGUACCUUCAAAUCCAGUUGCUCAUUACAGUAUUAAGGUAUUCGAGAAUAGAUUUCGCUUUAACUGUCAAAUACGUAAUUAUUCUCGCGAAAAUCAAGGGUAUUAUUGGUCGAGGUUAUCACGCUCUCUUAUCGGAUCCGACAGUUUCAAUCUCUUUUACUAUCCAUGGAGUAUCUUAGCGUUUUUAAACGUCGUUAUUCGUUAACUACGGUCCGAGAAAGAUUGAACAAGAAAUCCUGUAUAAUUCGAAACAUGUUCUUUCCCUUUCUUUUUUUUUUAUUUUUUUUUUUAUACAUUGUCUGUAAGAAUAAUUCGAUCAUGAUAAGAAAGAGUUUUAGGAUUGUUAUAUUUUUUAAUCAAUUUCCUUGAUUCGUUGAUAAGCAAGUUACAUUGAAGCAACUUUUUUUCUCCUGAAUAAUUCGUUAUUUCUUACGGUUGUUUCUUCUUGAUAAUUCAAUCUUAAUGAUUAUUAAUUUAUGUGUAAUAGUUCAAGGCGACAAACGAUGGUCGUGUAAAACAGUCGUCGUUUGUAUCACUUACUGAACAAUAGACCGUGUUUUCCACGAUGUUUAACAACCGAGUUGUUUAGUUGAUUAGUUAGGAAGUAGUUCAAAUCAACUAAUUUGUAGAAGCAAAUUAUUUUUCGAAAGAAGACUUCAAAUGUCCGUGAACAAUAUUCACAUUGUGAAAGAUCUUUAUGAAGACGAAUAUAUUUGCGUGUAAUAUGUACAUUUUUUCUAUGAUAUAAACUACGAACGAAGAGUUUACUCGUUUAACAAAGCGAUUAGAAACAAGUUAAAUCUAAGGUGACAACAACACAAAAGUCAGCGUUACUGUUUAUAUAUUUUUAUAUCGAAACUUUAUUUCCUUCAAGAUGCGUUUUUCCCAGGUUUCGCAGCGAUAUGACACGUCUUUCAAUGUUAAACAGGACAAGAAAGAAAAAGAAUAAGAUCAGUACGUGCUUAAAGAUCAUAAUUUCCGUAGAAAGUUAGCGAUCUUUAUAUCACUUUAUUUUCAAACUGUUCUGAAAUAAUAUUAAACUUACAGAUAUAUUUAUCCUAUGAACUCUGGGUGGAAUUAAAAAUUAAAUACUAACAACAUUUAAAGUAAAGAAAAAAAGAAAACAAAGAUAAACGUUUGACUAUUUAUUGGUUCGACCAGCCUCACACAAUUAACUCGAUUCCUGAAUAGUUUUGAGAGAAUUUAGGGAUAUUUCUGUAAAGGGGAGACUUAGUACUUUCUAUAGUGUUAUCGAAAAUCGUCCAAACGAGACUAUGUAUAAUAUAGAUAUCUUAAAUAACGACACAAAUGAACGAUCGUUCUCAACCCUUCCUAAUUAAAAUAAGCUAUGACGAUAUUGUGCUACUACAUUUAACAUAGGCGAGAUAUGUUUUUGUGAUCGGUCGGCAACCAUCGAAAUGCUAAAAGAAUAAAUCUAAAUCUCGGGAAAAGCCAUGCGUAAAAAAUGAAGAACUAAAUUACAAUGAAUUAAAAAAAGAAGAUGAUUGUGAUGAUCGGUCAGUAAAAUGGUAACAAUCUCGGUCUUGUACUCUUCGUGCCAUUAAAGAGCGUGGUAACUUCCGCGUUUAGUCUUUGUUCAGCUCUGCAGUGUCGUGACAUAGCGAAGUGCUAUCCCUCCAAGAUAAUAAUAAUAAUAAUAAUAAUAAUAAUAAUAAUAAUAAUAAUAAUAAAUAAUUAAUAAUAAUAACAAUAAUAUUAUUAUUAAUAAUAAUACCAUUACGACUAAUAAUGAUAACAACAACAAUGAUAAUAUAAUACUACUUUAAAUAUAUGAUGAUUAUAUUUUUAAACUCUAAGUGUCGUCUUUAAAAGAAGAAAAAAAAAAAAGAAAAAAAACACAUACAUACACACACGGAUGAUAAGACGUAUAUUCGAAGCUUUCGAAGUUAUCAUAUGUAAAAGUCACUUUGUUAUAACUCCUAGAACUGAACAGAAAGAGUGUAAUCACCUUUGAGUAAAUACGUCGUCUUUUUGUUUAACGGUAGAAAAGGGAAAAGAAAGUUCAAAUAUUUAUGACCAUACGUUUUUAUCUGUGUUGUAUAUUUUUCAUGACGCCGUCUCAAAAAGGAGUUCCGUUCUUUAAUAUCGAUAUUUCGCAUAUCGUUGAUCCGUGGUAACGAGACACUUGAAAUAUUCGAACAAGUUUGUUGCUGAAAGAUUUGAUUCUUGAUACUUUUUAUCGGUCUGUUACUUUUAAAUCAUACUACACGAUAGUUAUAUCGUAAAGUGCAAUUUUGAAAUUAUACGACGUGUGAACUCCAUGAGCUGGUAGCUCGAAUACUGAUCGAAAUUAUUCGACAUUUGCCAUAAAACCUUGUGAUUUCAUUGGUAUUUCGUUAAAUAUGUUUCUUUUUACGGGAUCUCUCUUUACAUCACUAUAUCUUGGUGAUCAAAAAUAAAAGAUGCGUAAGAAAGGACAAAUUAUUUGUAUUUUUACAUUUUUAAAAGUAAUCAGUAUCGUGUAUGAUGUGUCUUUUAUUGAUUGACUAUUUAAUUUAAGUAAUCGAUUCAAUCUUCCAGUGAAUUUUUGUGAUCUUUUAAGCAAUAAGAUUCUAUCGUGUAUUGCGUUAUAGAGGACACGUCCUGCUACAUUUCUUUUUUGCCAAAACGGAGAAAAAGAUUUGAGAGAAAAGAAAGGGGGAAAGAGAAACAGAUUUAACAUUAAUUGUAGAAAAUAAAUCGAAGCGAUUAGAUUAUUAUUAUGCGAGUAUGUAUUUUACAACAUUGCCAAACGAUUUUAACACCCGCUAAAUUUCUUCCUUUUUCAUAAUUUUUACGAUGUGUAGAAGUAGUGAAAAAUUCCUUCCUGUAAAAGAUCGUUUAAUCCUUUCAGAAGCAGGGAUUUUUUUAGACGCCCAACCAUUUCCUUAGAGUGAACUUUUUCACGAUUUAAUGUAAUAAGCUGUAAUACAGUAAAACUAUGUAUAGUACGAAAGCUGGGAGGAUUGAACGUUCAAAAUUUAGCAUCGAAUCCUUUCGAGUCUGCGUGGUACAUGAUUUUUCUUUUUUCUUGGAAUUACAAAAUAUGUUCUACUACUUUGUUAACGAAGAACAAAGCAUAGACUCGAAAUGGUCGAAAUGAUCGAAAUGAUCGAAAAGGAACAUUUUUAAUGCCAGUUGGAGGAGUUACAAAUUCGUCGUGCCUUUGUGUCGUCGCGAUCUGGCAUUUUGUUCGUUCAUUUGUACUGCGACGUAAGAUUCAUAGAUGGAUAUUUGGUUAUGAUUUUACGUCGAAGCACACGCUCGGUUCCAUUAUUCGAUUUCACCAUCAACGAACAAAGUUAUUGUUUCCAAACCGACCAAAUCAGAUGUUUGGGUGGUCAUGUAUAAUUACUAUUUCUGUAUUUAAAAAAAGAACUAUUCGUAUGCGUUUAGUUAUUGUUAUUAUUUUAAUUCGAUCAUUUGUAAAAACAAAAAAGGGAGACAUUUAAUGGAGAAAUGCACUUGUUACAGCUUUGUUUGAUAUAUUUAAGUUAGCUCGAAUUUAUCGAGUACAUUUACUUGUUUUCUUGUAAUUAAACAAAUAGAUGAAAUUUGGGAUAUAUCCUUUUUAUUUUAAUGUUCCUUGUUUCCUUAUCUCAAGAUGUUUUAUCAAGAUUAUUUAUAAGUUAUUAUAUAAGGUAUAUUCCUUAUGAGUAUAUAUCUAUAAAGCUAUAACAUAUAUCUAUAAGGUAUAUAGCCAUAUAUAUGAAUCUUAAAAUUUUAAGUUAAUAAUAAAUCUAAAUGUGUAAAACGAGCAUUUGUACGAAUAAUUUGUUUCGUUUUUGGUGAAAUUGAAGAUGUAAAAGGACAUUGACGAGUGCCAAAACAUCCAGCUUGUUAUAAUUGACACAAAUGUAAUACGAUCACCGCUAAAUCAUUGUAAUGGAGAAGAUUGUCAAAACACGUUAUAGAUUACCCCAUUGUUUUUAUUCAUGAUCAAGUGCGUUGAAACGUUUUCCUGUAAAUCAAGAAUACCAAUGUAGAACUCAACACACUAAGAUCACAUGUCAUACAGCGUUUUUCAAAUCUGUCAUCGGUAGACAGACACAACGCAUUUAUCUAAGUCUUCAAGAUGUUAACGCAAACCCUAACCAUCAAGAAUACCAAGCGUUUGUUAUUAGAGGUCUAACCUAAAAAGGAAGACAGAAACUUAAAGACAAGAGAAGACAGGAGCUCAAAAGUUUUUAUUAGGACCUUACCAUCAUCUAAUUAAAAAUUUAAAUAAUUUUGAACAAGAAAUAUAAUUUCAAUAAAUAUUCAACAUUGAUACUAUUGGAAUUGAAGUAACCAAUUAUUCUCUGAACUGCUCAAACUCCAACCACAGCGAAAUAUUAAUAUUAAUAUAAAAUAAAUAAAAUUAUUCGAAAAGCAAAAUAGUAACAAAAAAUGAAACCAUAAAUUAGUUACAAAGUACACAAGCGUUUCUACAAGAAAAAGAAGGAAAAUCAGUAGGCAAAAGAUUGUAACUACCCGAUUGGAGAAAUGAUUACGUUUAAAACGUUUAUCAUUCAAACGUGAGCCAAGAUACAGAAAUAUCGGUAGGUAUAUUAAGGUGUAUUAUAACAUCUACAAUAUGUUAUCAAAGCUAAAAUUUUGAAGGCAUUGGCAACUCGUUUUUCUGUUUCGAUCAACUUUUCCACGUGCAUAUAUAUACGAUACACUUCCAGUAACGGCCGAUCGGUCAAUGUGAUUACAUUAGAAUCAAAUAUAGGCGGAAAGAGACAACAAAUUUGUAUAUAUACGAAGUUAUCGAUAAUUAGUGUGAAAAGAAUUUUAUAUGUAUGCACGAUGAUUUGAUGCAUCCAUUUGUGUUAUUCAUUCGUAUGCUCCAAAAAAAUAUUCACGUGUUUUUCGCUAUGCCCUUAAAUAUAUAUAUUAUAUAUACUAUAUAAUUAUGUAUAUUAUUGUGUUAUUGUAUUUAUAUUUUAUUGCACUAACCUGUGUAUUCACAAUACACAUUCCAACGCUCUUCUUUCGAUAAGAUAUGCAUAUAUACGUACGCACCUCUACGUUUUUAUAUUGCUAUCAACAUAAUAGAGAAAUUUGAUAAUGUGUGCUUGGUAAUUAAUGUUUGAUAAGUUUAUUUCAAUAAUGCCCUCGGUGAAUUUGCAUAAAGCGUAUAUAAUUUCACAGAUUUUAAUUAUGUUCGUUAACCCUCUAUAAUCCAUUCUGUGACAUCUUUUAUCUGAUUAUUAAUUAAUAUUUAAACGAUAUAAAAUAAAACUGUUAGAAAAUGUUUCUUGGUAAAAUUGAAAUUUGUAAGUUAAUAAAUUAUAUGAAAUGGUCCGUGGAGGGUUAAUUAUGAAUAAAAAUCUUUUCUCUGCAACACUAAAUCCCAUGUGACACAAAUCUACACAUGACAAAGUUUUUCAAUACUACAUUUGUUGCCUGUGUCUUUAAAACAAUUAAUUAUAUUAAUCCUCAUCCGUACCUCGUGUCAAUUUGACGCAUUUUUCACGUGAAAGGUGAUAUUAUUCCGCUAUUUGUAGAAAAUUGAUCUGACCUUGUGAUUUUUAUUUUUUUAACGUGGAAUAUAUAUAUGUAUAUAUAUAUUUAGUAUUGUCAAGGGCAAAACAUGCGAUAAAAGGGUGUGACAACAUUUGUUAUAAAAAGGACCCUAUCUGUCAAUCUGACACACAUAGUUCUUAUCAAGUCCAUUGACGACUAGUUCAUUGCCUUGUUAUUGUUGCACAACAAUUAUGCAUUCACUGUACAUCCCCUCCAGAAUGCAACUAGAUAUGCAUAGCUUUGAAUAUUAAAAUUUCGUAUAGGUAUAAAGAAGAGAAGAGGCGUUAUGUCUUCUUUUUGUUCUCUUUAUCGCGAGACAAAGCUAAGAACAGUAAUAUCGAAGCAAUGCGAAGUAGAACACGUGCGAAUGAAAUCCGAUACUUGUGAAGAAGAAUUAGUGUGAAUGUAUGUAAACGACAAGGAGAAAAAAUAAUUAUUUCGUUUCAUUGAUGUUUUACGAUUGUGUCAGUUUGACACACGAGAGACACAUUAAAUUGUAAAAAUGAGGGGCGGAUGAGGGUUAUGUUAAAACCGCCAGUUUUGAAAACGCGUAUAUGAUUUUUCUACCAGAAGGACCGACUUCUCCUUCAAUUCUCUUCUAAAAAGAGCAUAUGAUAUUUUUAAAUUGAUCAUCUCGUGUCCUUAAGUUCGAACGGGCUUCCUUUUGAUAUUUAUUUCAUUGCGAUAUUUAUUAUCCAUCGUUCAAAAAUGCUGCCAAGAAACAAUGAAAGAUUACAUACUACAUAUGCUAGAAAGAGAGAGAGAGAAAACGAGGAAAGUAUUAUGACGAAGAAGAGAAGAGAAGAGAAAUGAAUAAACCUUUGUGAAAAGAAAGUCGAUCAAAUACAGCGUUGAAAAAAUGACUAAAAGACGAGGAAGAAAGAAAAACUAUGUGAAGGAGUAAUGCUACCGAAGGUCACCGCCUGCUAGUCUUGUCUAUAUUGUUAUUCGGUUACAUAGUGCAUAUAAGGAAACAAUAUUUAAUAUAAUCGAUUUAAUUAAUAUUGUACUUCUAUAAAUUACAUUAAAAACAAUGAACCAUUACAAA
Bombus pascuorum is the source of this 8489-nucleotide RNA transcript. It is a transcript of the gene named homeobox protein PKNOX2-like, with no coding region annotated. The record is from RefSeq and is a predicted model, not a curated record. The transcript has 9 exons. NCBI's taxonomy places the organism in Eukaryota, Metazoa, Arthropoda, Insecta, Hymenoptera, Apidae.